This 279-nucleotide ribosomal RNA is filed under the name uncultured bacterium. Its description in RNAcentral is "partial 16S ribosomal RNA". It matches the Rfam family "Bacterial small subunit ribosomal RNA", at positions 506 to 784 of the family's 1533-position model. The record is from RNAcentral.
UGCCAGCCGCCGCGGUACUACGGAGGGUGCAAGCGUUGUUCGGAAUUAUUGGGCGUGAAGCGCGUGUAGGCGGCUUGGUUAGUCGGGUGUGAAAGCCCUGAGCUUAACUCAGGAACUGCAUUCGAUACUGUAUCGCUAGAGUUUAUUAGAGGAUAGCGGAAUUCCAGGUGUAGCGGUGAAAUGCGUAGAUAUCUGGAGGAACACCAAUGGCGAAGGCAGCUAUCUGGGAUACAACUGACGCUGAGGUACGAAAGCGUGGGGAGCAAACAGGAUUAGAUA